GAUCUUGCAGGUGAUUGUGGGGAGGUUUGCCAAUUGACCUUAGUGAAAUCAAAAAAGAAAAAUAGUUCAUUUGUGUUUGGAGGGGCGACCUUCAUCUGAUCUGACCACAUGGAAAAGCUCUCUUUGUGUUGAUGAAGAAUUCUUCAUCUCAAACAAGAUAAACUGAUGUUAAACCCUGGGGGGCACGUCUUGGUUUGGUUUUCUUGCAAGAAAACUUUAUGGGAUGAUUAUGAAGUUGAAAGUUACUUUCUAUGUAAUGCCAUAUGCAGCCAGUUUGUUGGCCUUUGUCUAUGAAUCCUUCAAAGACAGCCAUGGAUUGUUUACUUAAACCUGUUAAAGCUCGUAUUGCUGAAGUUCAAUUUCCUCUUGUCCCUCAUUGAAAGAU
This is a non-coding RNA of Prunus avium (sweet cherry), 385 nucleotides long. The record is from RefSeq and is a predicted model, not a curated record. Lineage: Eukaryota; Viridiplantae; Streptophyta; Magnoliopsida; Rosales; Rosaceae.